UACGUAGGGACCGAGCGUUGUCCGGAAUCAUUGGGCGUAAAGAGCUCGUAGGCGGCUUGUCGCGUCGUCCGUGAAAACCUGUGGCUCAACUGCAGGCUUGCGGUCGAUACGGGCAGGCUGGAGUUCGGUAGGGGAGACUGGAAUUCCUGGUGUAGCGGUGAAAUGCGCAGAUAUCAGGAGGAACACCGGUGGCGAAAGCGACGUGCUGGCCCUCUUCUGACGCUGAGGCGCGAAAGCCAGGGGAGCAAACGGG
Molecule: ribosomal RNA, 253 nt
Filed under: uncultured bacterium
Lineage: Bacteria
Description: partial 16S ribosomal RNA
Rfam family: Bacterial small subunit ribosomal RNA
Source: RNAcentral